GCAAAUAACCCUAAUUUUUUGUAUUGGCUUAAGUUUUCCUAUUUAGCCCAUUUUGUUUGGCACAAAAAACCAUGAUCUUGUUUGAUAGGUUCAUAGUGCAUUUUCAUCUUACCAUUAAAAUAAAAACCAUAACAAACACUCCCUUAUCAUCUGUUUAUUUAUUCUCCAUUCCCUACCAUAUAUAUAAACAUAAAAAAAAAAAACCGUUUAUUUUGGAAAUCCGAUUUCCUUCCGUGUCUUGUUUCUUCUCUACAUCCUUGGGAUCUUUUGCAGAGACCAACCCAGAAGAAAGAAGGGCAAAAAAUAAUAUUAAAAAUAAUUAA
Molecule: non-coding RNA, 323 nt
Organism: Vicia faba (fava bean)
Lineage: Eukaryota; Viridiplantae; Streptophyta; Magnoliopsida; Fabales; Fabaceae
Source: the annotation of a GenBank genome assembly